UACGGGGGGGGUAAGCGUUGUUCGGAAUUACUGGGCGUAAAGGGCUCGUAGGCGGCCAACUAAGUCAUACGUGAAAUCCCUCAGCUUAACUGGGGAACUGCGUGUGAUACUGGAUGGCUUGGAUUUGGGAGAGGGAUGCGGAAUUCCAGGUGUAGCGGUGAAAUGCGUAGAUAUCUGGAGGAACACCGGUGGCGAAGGCGGCAUCCUGGACCGGUAUUGACACUGAUGAGCGAAAGCCAGGGGAGCAAACGGG
RNAcentral lists this ribosomal RNA (253 nucleotides) under uncultured bacterium. RNAcentral describes it as "partial 16S ribosomal RNA". It matches the Rfam family "Bacterial small subunit ribosomal RNA", at positions 524 to 776 of the family's 1533-position model. The record is from RNAcentral.